GGAUGGAUGGAUGGACAUUUUCAAGCAAACAAACGAAAUAAAAAAAGGGUCUCAUGUGUUGUCAACUCCAGAAGCACUUCAACACACACUUCUGCUGCCCAUUGGAGCAUCCUCAGGAGCCUCCAUCACAUGUGAAAUAAAGAGCCUGAUUCCCAACCGUAUCCAGGGAGGAGGAGCUUGACUCGGAGGUGUUGAUCCAGACAACUGAGCAGCGAGCUUUGAAAGCUGAGGAGGCCCUCCAAGGCAGCGCUUGAGAACAUUAAAAACCUGGAGAGACAACUACAUGAUUCUUUAGAAGAAAAGAAAACAGCUUCACCGUUGCCUGCUGUUGUUUCUCCAAAGAAAGCCACACAUCAACGCAAAUGUUUCUCAUGAUGUCGCCGUAAAUUUAAUUUGAAAAAAGCAAAUUGUGCAAUACUAAAUGAGUAGUGUAAAAGGUAAAAAAAAAAAGAUGAAAGAUGAGUAUCUUAUAGAGUGUUCAAGAUGCUCUGGUUACGCACUCUGGCCUGUACUUGAGGGUCUUCCAUGGCUGCCAGAUGCUGCUGUAACUCCACUGGAAAGCUGACAGAAAAUCAAAGCCAAGCACAACACAGCGUGGUCAGCAGAACCCUCAAAGUGGACCGCAAAUCUCUGCAUGCAUCUGCUGACAGAUCAAAUGGAUCAAGGUCUAUUUUGAGGAGAACUUUGAAUUUGGAGUGGCCUUCACGGUUGAGCUGUUUCAAUUAAGUUCAUUUCUCGGUGAUUGUCUUGAGCAAAGGUUCUUAAAUAAA
Long non-coding RNA from Syngnathus acus (greater pipefish), 770 nucleotides. RefSeq lists it as uncharacterized. The record is from RefSeq and is a predicted model, not a curated record. The transcript has 4 exons. NCBI's taxonomy places the organism in Eukaryota, Metazoa, Chordata, Actinopteri, Syngnathiformes, Syngnathidae.